Molecule: long non-coding RNA, 655 nt
Organism: Bactrocera neohumeralis
Lineage: Eukaryota; Metazoa; Arthropoda; Insecta; Diptera; Tephritidae
Exons: 3
Source: RefSeq, a predicted model, not a curated record
AUGAAGCUAUGUUCAAUGAAAUUCAUUCAAAGGUGAGAUGUAUCGUCGAACAAACUAUCGGAAUUUUAAAAGGACGCUGGAGAAUUUUAGGAUAUGGCAAGAGAGGAAGGUACCAUCCGACAAAGCAAGAUUUGCUAACGUUUGUGCAGCAUUUUACACAAUAUCUGCAUAAAAUUUAAAAUAAAUUAUGAUCCUCAGAACCAAUCGUUUCAUCCGUGUACGGAUCGGCAAACAUACGAAAGAAAAUUACGUGAUACGUCAAUCGUAUUCGGUGAUUGGCAUUAUGACAUACGAUAGCAAACGGAUCGUAAUGUCACAAUAGAUGUGGAACUGUCAACACUGUUGCGAAAUUUUCAAUAAACUAACAAAAGAUGUAUCGUUGAACAAAGCAUUGGAAUCUUAAAAAGACGGUGAAGAAUUUUAGGAUAUGGCAUGAGGAUAUGAGAGGAAGGUAUCACCCCACAAAACUGGAAGAUUUGCUAACGUUUGUGAGGCAUUACAUAACAUCUGCAUAAAAUUUACAUUAAGUUGCGACCCUCAAAAUUGCGAUUCUUAUCACACACAAAAAAUGGACAACGGGGUAGCGAACCGCUUCACCGCAAUCGACCAAACGAUAAGAGAUCAAAUAAAGUAUUCUUUAAUAAACUAAAUUCAA